UAGCUUGAUGAGCUUGCCUAUCAUAA
Molecule: small RNA, 26 nt
Filed under: Bombyx mori (domestic silkworm)
Lineage: Eukaryota; Metazoa; Arthropoda; Insecta; Lepidoptera; Bombycidae
Description: ovarian small RNA-22587
Source: RNAcentral